This 1295-nucleotide ribosomal RNA is filed under the name metagenome. Its description in RNAcentral is "SSU rRNA". It matches the Rfam family "Eukaryotic small subunit ribosomal RNA", at positions 558 to 1790 of the family's 1831-position model. The record is from RNAcentral.
AGUCUGGUGCCAGCAGCCGCGGUAAUUCCAGCUCCAAUAGCGUAUCUUAAAGUUGUUGCAGUUAAAAAGCUCGUAGUCGGAUUUUGGGAGUGAGAGCGGACGGUCCAUCGAAACGAUGUGUACCUUCGGUCCACUUCUUUGCUUCGCACUGCAUGCCGUGGCCAUUGAUUUGGUGGCGGUGUUAUGCGAGCGAUCAUUUACUUUGAAAAAAUUAGAGUGUUCAAAGCAGGCGAGUUACGGCCGUUGAAUAGUUCAGCAUGGGAUAAUGGAAUAGGACUUUCGUCUUAUUGCGUUGGUUUUCGAGACGAAGGUAAUGAUUAACAGGGACAGUUGGGGAUAUCAGUAUUUAAUUGUCAGAGGUGAAAUUCUUGGAUUUAUGAAAGACUAACUACUGCGAAAGCAUUUAUCAAGGAUGUUUUCAUUGAUCAAGAACGAAAGUUAGGGGAUCGAAGAUGAUCAGAUACCGUCGUAGUCCUAACCGUAAACUAUGCCGGCCAGGGAUUCGGAGACGUUACAAUUGGAAUGACUCCCCGAGCACCUUACGAGAAAUCACAAGCUUUUGGGUUCUGGGGGGAGUAUGGUCGCAAGGCUGAAACUUAAAGGAAUUGACGGAAGGGCACCACCAGGAGUGGAGCUUGCGGCUUAAUUUGACCCAACACGGGAAAACUCACCAGGUCCAGACACAAGAAGGAUUGACAGAUUGAGAGCUCUUUCUUGAUUUUGUGGGUGGUGGUGCAUGGCCGUUCUUAGUUGGUGGAGUGAUUUGUCUGGUUAAUUCCGUUAACGAACGAGACCUUAACCUGCUAAAUAGUUACGCGAACCGUCUGACGUGGGUUGAAGCCGCUAGUGCGUACGGUCCUAGCGGACCGUGCCACGGGCGGUGAAUGCCCUGAUGCGUUUGUGGCAACACUUCUUAGAGGGACUAUUCGUAUCUAGCGAAUGGAAGUUUGAGGCAAUAACAGGUCUGUAUGCCCUUAGAUGUCCUGGGCUGCACGCGUGCUACACUGAUGAAAUCAACGAGUCCACAACCUUGGCCGGAAGGUCUGGGUAUCUUCUGAAAUUUCAUCGUGAUGGGGAUAGAUCAUUGGAAUUAUUGAUCUUCAACGAGGAAUUCCUAGUAAGCGCAAGUCAUCAGCUUGCGUUGAUUACGUCCCUGCCCUUUGUACACACCGCCCGUCGCUCCUACCGAUGAAUGUUCCGGUGAGAACUUGGGAUUGUGACACGUUAGUCUGGGGCAACUUGGACUGUGUUGCGAAAACUUGUUCGAACCUUAGCAUUUAGAGGAAGGAGAAGUC